AGGGCCCUAGAAGAAAGAGCUGAUCCCAGGUCAGGGUUGGGAAAUGUACAACACAUUGAGACAACGUGGGACGUCUUUUCACACCAGAAAGCAAAGAAGCCAUCAAAGCACAAAGGCAAUGAUGAUAAAAAGACACAAGAGCCACUGGCAGGAGUCCUCACUGGCCAAAAAUUGAAAAAUUUGACCUUCAAAAAGAACAGUAACUACUAUGGAUUGAAAC
Molecule: long non-coding RNA, 220 nt
Filed under: Homo sapiens (human)
Lineage: Eukaryota; Metazoa; Chordata; Mammalia; Primates; Hominidae
Description: HSALNT0330911
Source: RNAcentral